GAAACAUUUGUAAAAUAUUCAAGCAUUGUGCAUGGCUGACAGGACUGAAUCAGUUGUGCGUGGCUAAGAGGACAGAGUCAGGUGUGCGUGGCUGAGAGGACAGAGUCAGGUGUGCGUGGCUGAGAGGACAGAGUCAGGUGUGCGUGGCUGAGAGGACAGAGUCAGGUGUGUGUGGCUGACAGGACUGAAUCAGGUGUGUGUGGCUGAGAGGACAGAGUCAGGUGUGCGUGGCUGAGAGGACAGAGUCAGGUGUGCGUGGCUGAGAGGACAGAGUCAGGUGUGCGUGGCUGAGAGGACAGAGUCAGGUGUGCGUGGCUGAGAGGACUGAAUCAGGUGUGCGUGGCUGAGAGGACAGAAUCAGGUGUGCGUGGCUGAGAGGACAGAAUCAGUUGUGCGUGGCUGAGAGGGCAGAAUCAGGUGUGUGUGGCUGAGAGGACAGAGUCAGGUGUGUGUGGCUGAGAGGACAGAAUCAGGUGUUUGUCUGUGUAUGUGUCAGGUGAUAGUGUACUGACUGUACGCAGAGUGUAGGGAGGGCUCUCCUCUCAUCUCCUUAUGUAUGUGUCCCCUGACUCCACUCCGGC
Oncorhynchus tshawytscha (Chinook salmon) is the source of this 581-nucleotide long non-coding RNA. NCBI's taxonomy places the organism in Eukaryota, Metazoa, Chordata, Actinopteri, Salmoniformes, Salmonidae. The record is from Ensembl.